RNAcentral lists this ribosomal RNA (443 nucleotides) under Salmonella enterica. RNAcentral's name for it is "bacterial SSU rRNA". It matches the Rfam family "Bacterial small subunit ribosomal RNA", at positions 1 to 440 of the family's 1533-position model. The record is from RNAcentral. Lineage: Bacteria; Pseudomonadati; Pseudomonadota; Gammaproteobacteria; Enterobacterales; Enterobacteriaceae.
AAAUUGAAGAGUUUGAUCAUGGCUCAGAUUGAACGCUGGCGGCAGGCCUAACACAUGCAAGUCGAACGGUAACAGGAAGCAGCUUGCUGCUUCGCUGACGAGUGGCGGACAGGUGAGUAAUGUCUGGGAAACUGCCUGAUGGAGGGGGAUAACUACUGGAAACGGUGGCUAAUACCGCAUAACGUCGCAAGACCAAAGAGGGGGACCUUCGGGCCUCUUGCCAUCAGAUGUGCCCAGAUGGGAUUAGCUUGUUGGUGAGGUAACGGCUCACCAAGGCGACGAUCCCUAGCUGGUCUGAGAGGAUGACCAGCCACACUGGAACUGAGACACGGUCCAGACUCCUACGGGAGGCAGCAGUGGGGAAUAUUGCACAAUGGGCGCAAGCCUGAUGCAGCCAUGCCGCGUGUAUGAAGAAGGCCUUCGGGUUGUAAAGUACUUUCAGC